AGGGGUGUCGCCAAGUGGUAAGGCCCCGGGUUUUGAUCCCGGUAUCGUAGGUUCGAAUCCUGCCACCCCUGCCA
This 74-nucleotide transfer RNA is filed under the name Gammaproteobacteria bacterium. RNAcentral's name for it is "tRNA-Gln". It matches the Rfam family "tRNA". Rfam says of the family: Transfer RNA (tRNA) molecules are approximately 80 nucleotides in length. The record is from RNAcentral. Lineage: Bacteria; Pseudomonadati; Pseudomonadota; Gammaproteobacteria.